Molecule: long non-coding RNA, 443 nt
Organism: Lates calcarifer (barramundi perch)
Lineage: Eukaryota; Metazoa; Chordata; Actinopteri; Centropomidae
Exons: 3
Source: RefSeq, a predicted model, not a curated record
GCUCUGGCUGGACGGCGGUCUGGAACGCUGGGAGCAGCCGGUCUCCAGUGGGCUCCGUCGGUCUCCAACCUGGCAGAACACCUCUCGUCGCUGGACGCCGUCGCCACAUGACGCUGAACACUGAAAGCAGGACAGAACACAUUCCUGCAGAGAACACAAAGGAUGAGAGAAGGAUGGAGAAUCUGUUUUGCUUUAUGCCAAUUCUGUUCAGCUGCUAUAGACUCACCCAUGACGGAAACAAUCACCCGAGGUGCUGUUGAUGACUGCUGGUGAUCUGCACAACAAGCAAAUUACAUAAUAUCUACAUAGCAACUGUAAAUGUAUAUAGAUUUGAAGUAGGGGGGGGCUGAGAUACAGUACAUCGUGACAAAGAGUAAAGAUGAAACAAAGUUUUUCCUAUAUGUUUGUGUGUGUAAAUGACAAUGAAUGAGAGACUACCAUCA